GACGAACGCUGGCGGCGUGCUUAACACAUGCAAGUCGAGCGGUAAGGCCUUUCGGGGUACACGAGCGGCGAACGGGUGAGUAACACGUGGGUGAUCUGCCCUGCACUCUGGGAUAAGCCUGGGAAACUGGGUCUAAUACUGGAUAUGACCUGCUCUCGCAUGGGGGUGGGUGGAAAGAUUUAUCGGUGCAGGAUGGGCCCGCGGCCUAUCAGCUUGUUGGUGGGGUAAUGGCCUACCAAGGCGACGACGGGUAGCCGACCUGAGAGGGUGACCGGCCACACUGGGACUGAGACACGGCCCAGACUCCUACGGGAGGCAGCAGUGGGGAAUAUUGCACAAUGGGCGGAAGCCUGAUGCAGCGACGCCGCGUGAGGGAUGAAGGCCUUCGGGUUGUAAACCUCUUUCAGCAGGGACGAAGCGUGAGUGACGGUACCUGCAGA
Molecule: ribosomal RNA, 440 nt
Filed under: Rhodococcus erythropolis
Lineage: Bacteria; Bacillati; Actinomycetota; Actinomycetes; Mycobacteriales; Nocardiaceae
Description: bacterial SSU rRNA
Rfam family: Bacterial small subunit ribosomal RNA
Source: RNAcentral